Populus trichocarpa (black cottonwood) is the source of this 1252-nucleotide RNA transcript. RefSeq lists it as uncharacterized. Lineage: Eukaryota; Viridiplantae; Streptophyta; Magnoliopsida; Malpighiales; Salicaceae. The transcript has 6 exons. The record is from RefSeq and is a predicted model, not a curated record.
ACAAUUAAAACAAUUAAACCUAAAUGAACGGACGGACUUCAUUAACCCUAAUCCACUUGUACUAAUUUUGAAUAAAAAAAAAAGGGAAACUUGGAAGCGAAGAAUCGGGCGUUCGGUGGCGCGAUAAGAAAGAAUCGCGCGGCAUGGAAGGUGUCUCGCGCGACUCCACUCUUUCAUAUUUAUUACUUAAAGCUCUCCAUGAAGAUAGAUCAGUCACGGUUUAUUGGAUGAAAUGAUUCCCUACUACCAGCCGCAAUACCCAACAGCAGCAGAAGAGCUGACAGUGCCUCAACAUAUGUUGGCCCAACCAGCUAUGGCACAAUAUGGAAUAAAUUUUGCUGUUACUCCACAAGAUAGAAGGGAAAAGAAAAGAAAAAUUGAUGCUGAGUAUCGACAACGAUGUAAGGUAAAGAAAGAAGAUAGAGAGAUUGAAUUGCAACAUCUUCGGGAAGAAAAUGCCCAGUUGAAGAGGGAGAAUGAAUCCUGUCGGGAAGAAAAUGAUUCGAUGGCUCAUAAAUUGCGGUCAAAAGAAGUUGAGAUAGGGAACCUUAAAAGCGAAAUCUGCAAUUCAAAGAAAGUUAUUUCUAAUCAAGAAAUUCUAUUGGACACACUAUCACAACAGCCGUUUUUGCAACAAAUAAUGCGCGGAUGUAACCAACUUGAGGUGGCGCUGCUAGAAAAUGAACGCAAUAUAUUGUAUCAAAAUGCCAAUUGGGAUGGUUGGGAAUCUGAAAGAAAACAACUUUUGGAUGAGAUUGAGAAGCUGAAACAUCGGAAUGUGAUGCUCAAAAUGCAAAAUCAAGUUUUAGGCGACAAAAUACUGAGCCAAAAAGACACGGAAGCAAGUAUGAGAAGCCAUGCAAUAGCAUCGCUGGUAGAAGAUUCUGCAACAACCCUAAGUGUCUGCCUGUGACAGAAAUCUCUGUUACCCUGUUAGUGGCCAUCAUCACUCCCAUGCAUGAGACCAUAACACCUAUCAUUUCAACAUGAAGCACGCCACCUACCCCUGCAAUCUGUCAUGGUUUCUGCAAAGCUGAGCCGUCAACAAUCUACUUUGUCCACCUAUGAUCAGGAGUUAACCAGGAUAUCGUGAGGCAAUAUUUUCUCAAAGGGCGUAAAGCUUCUGAUAUGAUGGGUAGGGGUUAGAACCACUUGUUAAUUAAUUAUUUUCUAGGUGUACGGUUUUAGUGAACAGAAGCAGUGUAGACAUGUUAUGCAGAAAUAUUGAUUGAAUGUUCUUGUUGUAUCUUGA